ACUCCUACGGGAGGCAGCAGUGGGGAAUAUUGCACAAUGGGCGAAAGCCUGAUGCAGCAACGCCGCGUGAGGGACGACGGCCUUCGGGUUGUAAACCUCUUUUAGCAAGGAAGAAGCGAAAGUGACGGUACUUGCAGAAAAAGCGCCGGCUAACUACGUGCCAGCAGCCGCGGUAAU
Molecule: ribosomal RNA, 177 nt
Filed under: uncultured Actinomycetales bacterium
Lineage: Bacteria; Bacillati; Actinomycetota; Actinomycetes; Actinomycetales
Description: partial 16S ribosomal RNA
Rfam family: Bacterial small subunit ribosomal RNA
Source: RNAcentral